UACCAGCACCCCGAGUGGUCGGGACGAUUAUUGGGCCUAAAGCAUCCGUAGCCGGUUUUACAAGUCCUCCGUUAAAUCCAGCUGCUUAACAGAUGGGCUGCGGAGGAUACUAUGAGACUAGGAGGCAGGAGAGGCAAGCGGUACUCAGUGGGUAGGGGUAAAAUCCGUUGAUCCAUUGAAGACCACCAGUGGCGAAGGCGGCUUGCCAGAAUGCGCUCGACGGUGAGGGAUGAAAGCUGGGGGAGCAAACCGG
This 253-nucleotide ribosomal RNA is filed under the name uncultured bacterium. RNAcentral's name for it is "partial 16S ribosomal RNA". It matches the Rfam family "Archaeal small subunit ribosomal RNA", at positions 474 to 727 of the family's 1478-position model. The record is from RNAcentral.